This 341-nucleotide RNase P RNA is filed under the name Holophaga sp. RNAcentral's name for it is "partial RNase P RNA component class A". It matches the Rfam family "Bacterial RNase P class A". From Rfam's summary of the family: Ribonuclease P (RNase P) is a ubiquitous endoribonuclease, found in archaea, bacteria and eukarya as well as chloroplasts and mitochondria. Its best characterised activity is the generation of mature 5'-ends of tRNAs by cleaving the 5'-leader elements of precursor-tRNAs. Lineage: Bacteria; Pseudomonadati; Acidobacteriota; Holophagae; Holophagales; Holophagaceae. The record is from RNAcentral.
GGAAACCGUAGAGGAAAGUCCGGACUCCGCAGGGCAGUGAGCCAGGUAAUACCUGGGCGGGGUGACCCGACGGACAGUGCAACAGAGAGUAAACCGCCGAUGGCCCUCUAGGGGGAUCAGGUAAGGGUGAAACGGUGGGGUAAGAGCCCACCGCCGGACUGGUAACAGGACGGGCAUGGUAAACCCCUCACGGAGCAAGACCAAAUAGGCCGGCGUACUCCGCAAGGAGCGAGGAUUGGCCCGAUCGAGUCGGCGGGUAGGUUGCUUGAGGUUCGCAGUGAUGCGAAUCCCAGAGGAAUGGCGUCACACGACAGAAUCCGGCUUACCGGUCCACCUUGGUC